RNAcentral lists this antisense RNA (69 nucleotides) under Actinoplanes teichomyceticus. RNAcentral's name for it is "ASpks TB sRNA". It matches the Rfam family "ASpks TB sRNA". Lineage: Bacteria; Bacillati; Actinomycetota; Actinomycetes; Micromonosporales; Micromonosporaceae. The record is from Rfam by way of RNAcentral.
CUUGACCGAGCCGAGCCACAGCGGCUCGGGACGCUCCUGGCCGUAGGUGGCCAGCAACGCCUGCGCCUC